UCUGACUGAACUCCCCCAGGGCCGGAAGGCAGCAAGGGUAGGUCGGCUCUGGCGGGUGCGUGGGGGGCGCUUGCGUU
RNAcentral lists this signal recognition particle RNA (77 nucleotides) under Streptomyces kasugaensis. RNAcentral's name for it is "Bacterial small signal recognition particle RNA". It matches the Rfam family "Bacterial small signal recognition particle RNA", at positions 22 to 97 of the family's 97-position model. From Rfam's summary of the family: The signal recognition particle (SRP) is a universally conserved ribonucleoprotein involved in the co-translational targeting of proteins to membranes. Archaeal SRP consists of a 7S RNA and homologues of the eukaryotic SRP19 and SRP54 proteins. In most bacteria, the SRP consists of a 4.5S RNA and the Ffh protein (a homologue of the eukaryotic SRP54 protein). The record is from Rfam by way of RNAcentral. Lineage: Bacteria; Bacillati; Actinomycetota; Actinomycetes; Kitasatosporales; Streptomycetaceae.